This 492-nucleotide ribosomal RNA is filed under the name uncultured bacterium. RNAcentral describes it as "partial 16S ribosomal RNA". It matches the Rfam family "Bacterial small subunit ribosomal RNA", at positions 30 to 507 of the family's 1533-position model. The record is from RNAcentral.
AUUGAACGCUGGCGGCAGGCCUAACACAUGCAAGUCGAACGGCAGCACAGUAAGAGCUUGCUAUUACUGGCGACGAGUGGCGGACUGCUGAGGAAUACAUCCGAAUCUACGUUUUCGCGGCGCAUAAGGUAGGGUAACUUACCCUACUACCUCAUACGACCUACGGGUGACAGCAAGGGCUCUUCGGGCCUUGCGCGCUGGAAUGAGCCGAUGUCGGAUUAGCUAGUUGGCGGGGUAAAGGCCCACCAAGGCGACGAUCCGUAGCUGGUCUGAGAGGAUGACCAGCCACACUGGAACUGAGACACGGUCCAGACUCCUACGGGAGGCAGCAGUGGGGAAUAUUGGACAAUGGGCGCAAGCCUGAUCCAGCCAUGCCGCGUGGGUGAAGAAGGCCUUCGGGUUGUAAAGUCCUUUUGUAGGGAAAGAAAGGCAGCAGGUUAAUACCCCGCGGUAAUGACGGUACCGAAAGAAUAAGCACCGGCUAACUACGUG